RNAcentral lists this ribosomal RNA (465 nucleotides) under uncultured bacterium. RNAcentral describes it as "partial 16S ribosomal RNA". It matches the Rfam family "Bacterial small subunit ribosomal RNA", at positions 28 to 504 of the family's 1533-position model. The record is from RNAcentral.
GACGAACGCUGGCGGCGUGCUUAACACAUGCAAGUCGAACGGAAAGGCCCUGCUUUUGUGGGGUGCUCGAGUGGCGAACGGGUGAGUAACACGUGAGUAACCUGCCCUUGACUUUGGGAUAACUUCAGGAAACUGGGGCUAAUACCGGAUAGGAGCUCCUGCUGCAUGGUGGGGGUUGGAAAGUUUCGGCGGUUGGGGAUGGACUCGCGGCUUAUCAGCUUGUUGGUGGGGUAGUGGCUUACCAAGGCUUUGACGGGUAGCCGGCCUGAGAGGGUGACCGGCCACAUUGGGACUGAGAUACGGCCCAGGGUCCUACGGGAGGCAGCAGUGGGGAAUAUUGCGCAAUGGGCGGAAGCCUGAUGCAGCAACGCCGCGUGCGGGAUGACGGCCUUCGGGUUGUAAACCGCUUUCGCCUGUGACGAAGCGUGAGUGACGGUAAUGGGUAAAGAAGCACCGGCUAACUAC